GACGAACGCUGGCGGCGUGCCUAAUACAUGCAAGUAGAACGCUGAAGGAGGAGCUUGCUUCUCUGGAUGAGUUGCGAACGGGUGAGUAACGCGUAGGUAACCUGCCUGGUAGCGGGGGAUAACUAUUGGAAACGAUAGCUAAUACCGCAUAAGAGUAGAUGUUGCAUGACAUUUGCUUAAAAGGUGCAAUUGCAUCACUACCAGAUGGACCUGCGUUGUAUUAGCUAGUUGGUGGGUAACGGCUCACCAAGGCGACGAUACAUAGCCGACCUGAGAGGGUGAUCGGCCACACUGGGACUGAGACACGGCCCAGACUCCUACGGGAGGCAGCAGUAGGGAAUCUUCGGCAAUGGACGGAAGUCUGACCGAGCAACGCCGCGUGAGUGAAGAAGGUUGUCGGAUCGUAAAGCUCUGUUGUAAGAGAAGAACGAGUGUGAGAGUGGAAAGUUCACACUGUGACGGUAGCUUACCAGAAAGGGACGGCUAACUACGUG
Molecule: ribosomal RNA, 494 nt
Filed under: uncultured bacterium
Lineage: Bacteria
Description: partial 16S ribosomal RNA
Rfam family: Bacterial small subunit ribosomal RNA
Source: RNAcentral